Molecule: long non-coding RNA, 4398 nt
Organism: Ruditapes philippinarum (Manila clam)
Lineage: Eukaryota; Metazoa; Mollusca; Bivalvia; Venerida; Veneridae
Exons: 5
Source: RefSeq, a predicted model, not a curated record
CAACAAACAUAUUGAUGAUAAAACCACUUUAUAUACAUGAACCAUGCCUACUAUGCCUUUAAUUAUAAAAUAAGAUUGACGAAACCUCUUUCGCACCUUUUCAUAAUGGUAGUCCGCCGAAACAGUAGUUUGACGAAACCACCAAAAUUCAUAUAAAUCCAUGGUAGCACUUUCUCUCAGGCCUAAUUUUUGUUGGAACGGUGGUUUUUUGUCGAUUUAGUAAUUUUCUCUACUCUAAGUACUGGCAUGUGUGGCGGACAUGGUAAGGUGCCUAAAUGUUGACAUGGUCAUUAUAAAUAUUCAAGGUUUAUUCGCCUGUGAUUUUCAUGGCCUUUGUGGGUUUUUUUUGCCGCAAAGGAUCAACUUGGACUUAUACUGACUCGGACCAGUCAACUCGGCCUUCUAUUAGAAACCUAUUUCGGUAUGGAUUGUUAACAUUGUUAUGAAAAAAAUUUAGGAGUGUAUUACUAUAGAAGUAUUCAAAGGUAUAAUCGCAUGGCCAACAGAAAUUGAAAAAGUUGGCAGUGAACACGUACGUGUUGUUUGAAAUAAUCUUUGUUAGGAAGAGAUGUCGCGACAAUAAAUGUUGAAUAUUGGUCUUUAACUAGAAUUUUUAUGACAAUAAUGGUACUUGUUUUUUGCACUGUUCCUUGAAAUUAUCUUUGUUAAGAAGAGAUGUUCAAGUUGAGACAAUAGAUGUUGAAUAGUUAUCUUUAAAUUGAAUCUUUAUGGAAAUAAAUGUAAUUGUUGUUUACACUGUUUGUUCCUUGGCGGCCAAUGCAGUUUGAACAGUACGUUCUGCAAAGAGCAGAUGAAGUGGGCUAAGGAAAUUGGCAUUCUAUAAGGAAAUAAUUCUGAAUUUACGACAAAUGUACCCCUGUAUGCUAUAAAUAUAUGCAAGGAAUGCAUUGCUUUCUUCACAGUUAAUACACAUUUGAUCUAAUUAUGCACAUGGGAAAUCAAUGUCAACAAACUUGUUUUGAUGCACAGUACAAAUUUAUUUCUUUUACAAUUCAGGGGGGUUUUUUUACGGAAAGGGGUAGAUGCUGGGUGCUGGUAGGGAGGGGAAAGAUAUGUGAAAAAUGUCGAUUUGGGGAAAAUUAUGAGGUCAAUAAUUCUAUAAUAUAUCUUUUUUCCCCUGAAAAACUUUAUCAUCAUGCAAAAAAAACUUUGUGGUGUAACAUCUUAUUAUGUAUGGUGGUGAAUGGUUUUUAUACUUCCAUUAUUGUAUGAAAUUUAAUGCGGCAUACUAUAGGUGUAAUAGUGUAUCUGUGACACACUUCAACUCCAUACAAGUCAUUUUCAAUGCAAAAUAUAUUACUUUCAUAAAAAUAACCAAGAAAAUGGCAAUAUUUUGUUAGCAACUGAUUUGCAGAAAUAGUACCGUUCAGUACAGGAUAUAGCUAAGAAAAAAAUGGCAACCUCCAUGUUGAGAUUUUGCUUGCAGUUUCCGGCAUUUUUUUUGGUUAUUUUUGGCUGCAAUUGGCAUGAUGUGCUUGUGAAGUUUAAAAGUUAAGUGUAGAUGUGUUUAUGGAGUUAAAGCAUUGGUAUUGGCACAACUAUGGCGUUGGGAGGCACAGAUAUAGCGAAGUGUUCAGGUUUGGCUUUGUGGAGUUGAAGAGUCGAUAUUGGCAAAUUUGGAACAUUGGUAGAUUGGGAUAUAGAAAAGUGUGCGUGUUAUUGGCAAAUGUAGAACAUAGGAAGAUAAGGUUAUAGUGCAUUGUGCAGGCACACCACCAUGUACUCUUGAUGUAGAGUACUCCUACCCUUUGGAUUAUGCCCAGCAAGUGCACUAUCCCAAUUCCCUAUUCUCAAUAUGUUGGUUCAAUAUGUAUUAGGACACCAAGAAAGUUCCAUGAGAUUUGUGUUUGUGCAGAGGGAUCAGGACUUAAUGGAAGUGUCAGUCUCAACAUGCUCUGGAAAGGGGAGAAACAAUGCAACAGGUUGCCAGUAUUGUCCUGCAGACAUCAAGACAUGGUCACAAUAUCCCACUGCUUAUAGAUGAUCUAAAAAGCCAUUGAAAGUCAUUUUAAUAGUAAAUCCCCUGAGGCCUGCUGCUAUAAGGACUAAUGCUAUAUUGACUAGUGUGUGGAUCAUAUUAAUUAAUGGUUGCCUAUGUCAGCUUACCAGUAACUUACUUCCAUAAUGUUAAAACAUUUCAUGUGAUUGUGUUUUGUGUAGUACAACAUUUGUCAUGUCACUUUAAGUAUAGAAUUGCAUUGAACAUAUGCAUUUCAUGAAUUGAUCAACUGUAAUCCUGUCUUUAUAAGUUUUUAAAGUCUUGAUUUCAAGAUAAAUAAACAGUUUUAGUUGUUUGUGUGACUAUAUCUCAUUGAAAAUGACUGCAUAAAAUGUGAAGUGAUAAGCUUCAGUACUUGCUGUCAAGUUUUAAAUAUUUUAUACUUUUAGGAUAUGAAAACUAUUUUAUCUAUGACAAUGAUAGAUGAGUGAAUUUUUUAUGUUGAUAUUAGUGUAGAAUGACUUGGUAAAAUUUGCAUUAAUCCUGAACAGAAGCAUCAAAAUCAAAGAAAUUUGCAUGGUAGCUAGGCAACUAAAAUUUCCUUCAGUUAAAAAGGAUUUUUAACAGGAAGAACAUAUUAAUAUUAAAAAGACUCUGUAUGUUUGAUAUCAUUGUAACUCUUUCAGAACUUAAUCUCCUGCAUGCCUGAAAAUUUGGAAAUUUAGAAAUUUAUAACAAAAUAAUAUAUGAUAACUCGAAGUGCAGUGCAGUGCAAAAGAAUUAGUACUCUGAACUUCUUAUUUUUUGAGUAAUUGCCGUUUGUUAAUUUUCAUACUUCAAAUUUUGUCUGGGCCAUUUCUCUUCAACUAUAAAACCUAUGGACUUAAACUUCAUAGAAUGAUAGAUCUCAUUUAGAAAAAGUGCAUUGCACAAGGACUGGUACUUUGAACUUCCUAAUUUUUGAGUUAUGGUCCUUUGUUAAUUUUCAUAUUUUACUUUUGUCCAGGUCAUUACUCCUAAAGUACAAAAGCUAUGGACAUGAAACUUCAUAGGAUGAUAGAUCUUAUUGAUAAGAAGUAUAGUGCAAAGAAAAUGCUGCUCUGCACUUCUUAUUUUUUGAGUUAUUGCCCUUUGUUAAUUUUCUUGUUCUGGCCAUUUCUCCUUAACUACAUUGUUCACAAGGCGACAUAUCCGACUCGUGAAGUUCUGGUUCAUUCAAAUAGCCAGUUGUGCACUUAAAAUUUGUUAAAUUUAAAACAAAAUUAUGGAAUAUAUUGUGGCUGCUUGGCAACACUGAUUGAUUUUAGCUUGACUGUUCGAUUAAAAUAAGUAGAGCUUUUGUAGUCACCCAAACGUCAGUGUAUACGUAACAACUUGUGUCGAAGUUUUUAUGAUAUACCUCAAAUAUUUUCAAAGUCCAUUGCCAUAUGGCUUUGAAAAUUUGCACAAUUGUUCGCCAUCAUGAUUCCAACCUGUAGACAGGAGGAGGUGACUGUAUCAAGCAUUUUAGGAUAAUUUUUUUACUUAGUAUUUACGUUAUAAAGUUUUUGUAAUACCUCAAAUAUUUUCAAAGUCCAUUCACAUAUGGCUUUGAAACUUUGUGCACUUAUUCACCAGCAUGACCCUUACCUGUAGACAGGAGCAGGUAACUGUACUAAGCAUUUUGACAGAAUUAUGCCCCUUUUUUCGACUUAGAAUUUACAUUUAACUUUGCAUAUUACCUCAGAUAUUUUCAAAUUCUAUUGACAUCUAGCUUUGAAACAAGUUGAAAUUUUAUACUCUUCUUUGAGAGCAUAAUAGGACUCUCUUCAAGGCGUACUGUAACAUGGUUUUAAAGGAAAAUUAUUCCCUUGUUAACUAAGAAAAUUUUACAUUAUCGAGGCCUUUUUACUGUCAAGCACUAAUAAUAGUCCAGCAUUGCUUCCCUACCUACAGCUCUUGUUUCUAAUUGUUUAGGUAUUAAGUAAACCAGUUAUACAGCAGAUAGAUAUAUAUAUAUAUUAUAUUAUAUGGAAAUUAACACUUGAUCAAACAAUAACAUACAGGCAAAAAUACUGAGUUUCUGCUAAAAUUAACAUGGUUUUCUAUCACUAGUCAAGUGUACAGAACCUGUAUGUAAUAUCUUAAAUGAAAGAUUUUUUAAAAGUAAAUAAUAGACAUUGUAAUUUUAUUGAAAAUUAAUUUAUCUCUGCUGCUUUGUUAGCUGUAUUUUGCAAAGUAAUAUGUGAAAACUUUAAAAUAAAUUUUUAAAAAAUAUUCAACGGUUGCUAGCUGCCUUUAUGUUGUAUUUGUGUAAUGAUAUCCUUUAUUUGGUACAACUACCUUUUAUGUUGUUACACUUUAGUCAUAUUUAAUUUACUGUUGUAUUAAACUGUUAUCUGUUGUCACAGUAAGUGUUUGUCAGAAUAAGAUUAAAUAAUAAAUGAAUAAUAAAUGGA